This 253-nucleotide ribosomal RNA is filed under the name uncultured bacterium. Its description in RNAcentral is "partial 16S ribosomal RNA". It matches the Rfam family "Bacterial small subunit ribosomal RNA", at positions 524 to 776 of the family's 1533-position model. The record is from RNAcentral.
UACAGAGGGUGCGAGCGUUGUUCGGAAUUAUUGGGCGUAAAGGGCGCGUAGGCGGUGCGGUAAGUCACCUGUGAAAUCUCCUGGCUCAACUGGGAGCUUGCAGGCGAAACUGCCGUGCUGGAGUGUGGGAGAGGUGCGUGGAAUUCCUGGUGUAGCGGUGAAAUGCGUAGAUAUCGAGAGGAACACCUGCGGCGAAGGCGGGUUGCUGGGCCGACACUGACGCUGAUGCGCGAAAGCCAGGGGAGCAAACGGG